AUUUCGGCAAGUAUAACAUUGUUCCCUUUUAUUGGACAAUUUUUGUUAUCACAUAAUUCCACAAUUGUGAACAAAGGAUCCAAGAUAUAUAGAAGCUCAGGAGCUUCUUAUCAGGGAAAGUUGAUUAAAUACUGGAUAUAUGCUAGGUAAUCAUAUACCAACAAAGUAAUAAGAAUUGAUAGUUCAAGGAUUAAAGCUUCGCUGCAAAAUUUUGAAUUUCCAUUUGCUUAUGAAACCUCAAUAACUUUUUCUUUCAAGAUUAGGAGCAAGCCGUGAUUUGUUUUUUCUCUGAAGCUUUCUACUUGAAAACAGAAUCUGAAUAAUGAUUGAUGAGUUGAAUAUUGUAAAAUUGAAUAAGUCAUAAUAUAUUCAGAAAAUCUUGUGCUUCAUGUCUAUUUCAAAGUUUGUCUCCUUUAUUUGGCUAGGAAUCUUUGGUGCGUAUAAUAACAUAGUG
Molecule: long non-coding RNA, 454 nt
Organism: Phymastichus coffea
Lineage: Eukaryota; Metazoa; Arthropoda; Insecta; Hymenoptera; Eulophidae
Exons: 5
Source: RefSeq, a predicted model, not a curated record